Molecule: non-coding RNA, 78 nt
Organism: Salmo salar (Atlantic salmon)
Lineage: Eukaryota; Metazoa; Chordata; Actinopteri; Salmoniformes; Salmonidae
Source: Rfam
UCGCCCAUUUUGGCACUAGCACAUUUUUGCUUCUGUAUAUAUGCUUUGAGCAAUCAUGUGUAGUGCCAAUAUAGGACA